AUUGAACGCUGGCGGCAUGCCUUACACAUGCAAGUCGAACGGUAACGGGCCUUCGGGUGCCGACGAGUGGCGAACGGGUGAGUAAUACAUCGGAACGUGCCCGAUCGUGGGGGAUAACGAGGCGAAAGCUUUGCUAAUACCGCAUACGAUCUACGGAUGAAAGCAGGGGACCGCAAGGCCUUGCGCGGACGGAGCGGCCGAUGGCAGAUUAGGUAGUUGGUGGGAUAAAAGCUUACCAAGCCGACGAUCUGUAGCUGGUCUGAGAGGAUGAUCAGCCGCACUGGAACUGAGACACGGCCCAGACUCCUACGGGAGGCAGCAGUGGGGAAUUUUGGACAAUGGGCGCAAGCCUGAUCCAGCCAUGCCGCGUGCAGGAUGAAGGCCUUCGGGUUGUAAACUGCUUUUGUACGGAACGAAAAGCCUUCUUUUAAUACAGGAGGGUCAUGACGGUACCGUAAGAAUAAGCACCGGCUAACUACGUG
Molecule: ribosomal RNA, 482 nt
Filed under: uncultured bacterium
Lineage: Bacteria
Description: partial 16S ribosomal RNA
Rfam family: Bacterial small subunit ribosomal RNA
Source: RNAcentral